This is a long non-coding RNA of Glycine soja, 196 nucleotides long. RefSeq lists it as uncharacterized. The record is from RefSeq and is a predicted model, not a curated record. The transcript has 2 exons. Lineage: Eukaryota; Viridiplantae; Streptophyta; Magnoliopsida; Fabales; Fabaceae.
GACUGAGACAAGUGUGCGAGCGGGGAAUUCUGAUGUGUAUGGAUUCCUCGAGCCACAGUCCAUUCAGAGAUCUGGGCAAUCACAAUUUGAAUCCGAAAGUUACAUCAAGAGUUGGAUACAGAGUUCAAAACGAGAUGUUUACCUUGGAGUCUACCUGAAUGGCGGACACUGGCAAAUGGUCGUCAUUCUGCCUAAG